GGGCUACACACGUGCUACAAUGGCAACUACAGUGGGCAGCGACCCUGCGAGGGCGAGCUAAUCCCCAAAAGUUGUCUCAGUUCGGAUUGUUCUCUGCAACUCGAGAGCAUGAAGGCGGAAUCGCUAGUAAUCGCGGAUCAGCAUGCCGCGGUGAAU
This 156-nucleotide ribosomal RNA is filed under the name Sphingomonas paucimobilis. RNAcentral's name for it is "partial 16S rRNA". It matches the Rfam family "Bacterial small subunit ribosomal RNA", at positions 1211 to 1367 of the family's 1533-position model. Lineage: Bacteria; Pseudomonadati; Pseudomonadota; Alphaproteobacteria; Sphingomonadales; Sphingomonadaceae. RNAcentral also lists the same sequence under 3 other names. The record is from RNAcentral.